This 503-nucleotide ribosomal RNA is filed under the name uncultured bacterium. RNAcentral's name for it is "bacterial SSU rRNA". It matches the Rfam family "Bacterial small subunit ribosomal RNA", at positions 9 to 507 of the family's 1533-position model. The record is from RNAcentral.
CGAGUUUGAUCAUGGCUCAGAUUGAACGCUGGCGGCAUGCUUUACACAUGCAAGUCGAACGGUAACAGGCCUUCGGGUGCUGACGAGUGGCGAACGGGUGAGUAAUGCAUCGGAACGUGCCCAAUCGGUGGGGGAUAACGUAGCGAAAGUUACGCUAAUACCGCAUAAGCCCUGAGGGGGAAAGCAGGGGAUCGCAAGACCUUGCGCGAAUGGAGCGGCCGAUGUCAGAUUAGCUAGUUGGUGGGGUAAAGGCCUACCAAGGCGACGAUCUGUAGCGGGUCUGAGAGGAUGAUCCGCCACACUGGGACUGAGACACGGCCCAGACUCCUACGGGAGGCAGCAGUGGGGAAUUUUGGACAAUGGGCGCAAGCCUGAUCCAGCCAUGCCGCGUGCGGGACGAAGGCCUUCGGGUUGUAAACCGCUUUCAGCCGGAAAGAAAUCGCCAAGGCUAAUAUCCUUGGUGGAUGACGGUACCGGAAGAAGAAGCACCGGCUAACUACGUG